This 442-nucleotide ribosomal RNA is filed under the name uncultured bacterium. Its description in RNAcentral is "bacterial SSU rRNA". It matches the Rfam family "Bacterial small subunit ribosomal RNA", at positions 338 to 795 of the family's 1533-position model. The record is from RNAcentral.
CCUACGGGUCGCAGCAGUGGGGAAUCUUCCGCAAUGGGCGAAAGCCUGACGGAGCAACGCCGCGUGUGGGAUGACGCCUUUCGGGGUGUAAACCACUUUUCUCAUGGAAGAAGCACUGACGGUACCUGAGGAAGAAGGACCGGCUAACUACGUGCCAGCAGCCGCGGUAAUACGUAGGGUCCGAGCGUUGUCCGGAGUUACUGGGCGUAAAGCGCGCGCAGGCGGCGGUGUAAGCAUGGCGUGAAAGCCCCAGGCUCAACCUGGGAGGGUCGUCGUGGACUGCACCGCUUGAGGGCGGUAGGGGCUGGUGGAAUGCCUGGUGUAGCGGUGAAAUGCGUAGAGAUCAGGCGGAACACCCGUGGCGAAGGCGGCCAGCUGGGCCGUCCCUGACGCUGAGGCGCGAAGGCGUGGGGAGCGAACGGGAUUAGAUACCCUGGUAGUC